GGCGCCUGCCGCGAGCCUGACGGAGCAUACCGCGUGAGGGACGAAAGCCUUUGGGUUGUAAACCUCUUUUUUCAGGGAGGAAGUUCUGACGUGUACCUGAAGAAUAAGCAUCGGCUAACUCCGUGCCAGCAGCCGCGGUAAGACGGAGGAUGCAAGUGUUAUCCGGAAUUAUUGGGCGUAAAGCGUCUGUAGGUGGCUUAUUAAGUCUACUGUUAAAUAUUAAAGCUUAACUUUAAACUUGCAGUGGAAACUGAUAAGCUUGAGUACGGUCGAAGUAAAAGGAAUUUCCAGUGAAGCGGUGAAAUGCGUAGAUAUUGGAAGGAACACCGAUGGCGAAGGCAUUUUACUAGGCCCUUACUGACACUGAGAGACGAAAGCUAGGGUAGCAAAUGGGAUUAGAUACCCAGUAGUCAAU
Molecule: ribosomal RNA, 415 nt
Filed under: uncultured bacterium
Lineage: Bacteria
Description: bacterial SSU rRNA
Rfam family: Bacterial small subunit ribosomal RNA
Source: RNAcentral